RNAcentral lists this transfer RNA (74 nucleotides) under Thiovulum sp. ES. It matches the Rfam family "tRNA". Rfam says of the family: Transfer RNA (tRNA) molecules are approximately 80 nucleotides in length. Their secondary structure includes four short double-helical elements and three loops (D, anti-codon, and T loops). The record is from Rfam by way of RNAcentral. Lineage: Bacteria; Pseudomonadati; Campylobacterota; Epsilonproteobacteria; Campylobacterales; Sulfurimonadaceae.
GCGUCUGUAGCUCAACUGGAUAGAGCGACGGACUUCGGAUCCGUAGGCUAGGGGUUCGAUUCCUCUCAGGCGUG